CACCGGCGGCUCGAGUGGUGGCCACUUUUAUUGGGUCUAAAGCGUCCGUAGCCGGCUUGGCAAGUCCCCUGGGAAAUCUGGCGGCUUAACCGUCAGAAUUCCGGAGGAUACUCCCAGCCUAGGGAGCGGGAGAGGCCGAGGGUAUUCCCGGAGUAGGGGUGAAAUCCUAUAAUCCCGGGAGGACCACCUGUGGCGAAGGCGCUCGGCUGGAACGCGUCCGACGGUGAGGGACGAAGGCCAGGGGAGCAAACCGG
RNAcentral lists this ribosomal RNA (254 nucleotides) under uncultured microorganism. RNAcentral's name for it is "partial 16S ribosomal RNA". It matches the Rfam family "Archaeal small subunit ribosomal RNA", at positions 474 to 727 of the family's 1478-position model. The record is from RNAcentral.